This 494-nucleotide ribosomal RNA is filed under the name uncultured bacterium. RNAcentral's name for it is "partial 16S ribosomal RNA". It matches the Rfam family "Bacterial small subunit ribosomal RNA", at positions 28 to 506 of the family's 1533-position model. The record is from RNAcentral.
GACGAACGCUGGCGGCGUGCCUAAUACAUGCAAGUAGAACGCUGAAGGAGGAGCUUGCUUCUCUGGAUGAGUUGCGAACGGGUGAGUAACGCGUAGGUAACCUGCCUGGUAGCGGGGGAUAACUAUUGGAAACGAUAGCUAAUACCGCAUAAUAGUAGAUGUUGCAUGACAUUUGCUUAAAAGGUGCAAUUGCAUCACUACCAGAUGGACCUGCGUUGUAUUAGCUAGUUGGUGAGGUAACGGCUCACCAAGGCAACGAUACAUAGCCGACCUGAGAGGGUGAUCGGCCACACUGGGACUGAGACACGGCCCAGACUCCUACGGGAGGCAGCAGUAGGGAAUCUUCGGCAAUGGACGGAAGUCUGACCGAGCAACGCCGCGCGAGUGAAGAAGGUUUUCGGAUCGUAAAGCUCUGUUGUAAGAGAAGAACGAGUGUGAGAGUGGAAAGUUCACACUGUGACGGUAUCUUACCAGAAAGGGACGGCUAACUACGU